RNAcentral lists this ribosomal RNA (434 nucleotides) under uncultured bacterium. Its description in RNAcentral is "partial 16S ribosomal RNA". It matches the Rfam family "Bacterial small subunit ribosomal RNA", at positions 29 to 507 of the family's 1533-position model. The record is from RNAcentral.
AGCGAACGCUGGCGGCAGGCCUAACACAUGCAAGUCGAACGAACCUUUCGGGGUUAGUGGCGGACGGGUUAGUAACACGUGGGAACGUGCCUUUAGGUUCGGAAUAACUCAGGGAAACUUGUGCUAAUACCGAAUGUGCCCUUCGGGGGAAAGAUUAAUCGCCUUUAGAGCGGCCGGCGUCUGAUUAGCUAGUUGGUUGAGGUAAUGGCUCACCAAGGCGACGAUCAGUAGCUGGUCAGAGAGGAUGAUCAGCCACAUUGGGACUGAGACACGGCCCAAACUCCUACGGGAGGCAGCAGUGGGGAAUCGUGCGCAAUGGGCGAAAGCCUGACGCAGCCAUGCCGCGUGAAUGAUGAAGGUAUGAGGAUUGUAAAAUUCUUUCAACGGGGACGAUAAUGACGGUACCCGGAGAAGAAGCCCCGGCUAACUUCGUG